GAAUACUACGUGUAGCAGUCCAUACUUUAGCCUGAUAGUCAUCUUUUAGACCUGUUGUCAUUUGCCUCGUAUGUAGAGCAAAAACUCCAAUUCUACUUUGCUGUCCCAACACUUGGUGAGCAUUGUAAAUGGGAAGACUCAUACAUUGACUAACAGAGUGUACGACCUAUAGGGGAAGAGAGAGAGGGAGAGACAGAGAGCGAGAGAGAGAGAGAGAGGGAAUAGAAGAGAGAGGGGGGGGGAAGUCACACAAACACAUGUGAUGAAUGAGCCAGUCCAGUCCAGUCUAACGGAGCAGAGAACAGAGGGGCAGAGACGAGAACGCUGACGCCACGGGGGGCCGGAGAACCACUUAGACUGGGAAUCCAAUAAUGAGUUCAUCGCACUGAACAUAGGAAGUCGUGGCCUGAAUGUGAUAUGGGACGGAGUGAGCCAGCAACUAACAGAAGCAGCUGUUCUACAAUAUUUCAUCAUCCAGUGGACUAACCAUCAGCCCAUCAUUUCUUCUUCAACCAGGACCUGGGGUCAACCAGAUCUCUAACUUAUACAGGAC
This is a long non-coding RNA of Esox lucius (northern pike), 553 nucleotides long. The record is from Ensembl. Lineage: Eukaryota; Metazoa; Chordata; Actinopteri; Esociformes; Esocidae.